UUUUGUCUCUUCUUUCCUAAACUAAAUUAUUCAUUAAAAUAAAAGUGAGUGUACAAAUAAUUUAUUCACAAACCUUUUUUUUUUUUUUUUUUCNUAGGGAAUUUACUACUCUGUGUAUGUACACAUAUGUGAGUAUGUAUAUAUGUCUAUAUAUGGGCUGUGAUUAAUUUCUCACUUGUGCAGAAGGAUUCCUAGGCAGAUUGAGGAACAAGAGGCUGCCUGUGCACGAGCGGGUAGGGUAGGCUCGUGAUAACUUAUAUCUUUGCAGCUACAAGGACAUCUAAGCUCAAGCAAGGAGAAGUCAUUUCAGACGUCCCGCUGCCGGUUGCUGCCAGGCUCUGGCUCCCUGGAGAGACGACGCAGAGCAUCCCGAAUAGCAAGUGCCUGCAUACGGCCCUCCAUCCGCUCCGCAAUCACCGCAUCCCGCUUGUCCCAGAUGGCACAGGGGAAUAGCCGCUUCUUUUCUGACUCAACCGAGCCUACGCGAGCUACACAUUUCCCACUCCCCCGCUGCUGAAAAGCAAACAAUCCAUUAGGGCUUUGCUGACUGGAUCUGACAUUUCCCAGGUGCAGAUUAACACCCCCUCGAGGCCUGAACACCGUGAAAAUCAACUCAUCACUUGCGCAUCGCUUCCCAUCACCGCUCCCAGCAACGAGGAGCCCCAGCACCUGCCAGCCCAGUGCUCGGUGCCCGUUGGCAUGGUUUUCCAAAGGAACAGAGGAAGAAGACCAAUGGUGGUGUGAUGGGCCUUGGGCUCACCAUCCUAGCAUCGAGCUGGGAAAGGAGGAUGUCACACAAGGAUUCUGUCAGGUGCUGCUUUAAAUCCAACCCCGUGCCUAUUGCAUCUUGCAUCCAGGGACCAGCCUUGGCUGCUUGGGACAAGAAGAUAUAACAUGACUCACUG
This 905-nucleotide long non-coding RNA is filed under the name Anser brachyrhynchus (Pink-footed goose). RNAcentral describes it as "lncRNA (ENSABRG00000012124.1)". Lineage: Eukaryota; Metazoa; Chordata; Aves; Anseriformes; Anatidae. The record is from RNAcentral.